UAUCCUAACGCUAAUCUACACAGGUAGAGUAUCCUAACGCUAAUCUACACAGGUAGAGUAUCCUAACGCUAAUCUACCACAGGUAGAGUAUCCUAACGCUAAUCUACCACAGGUAAAAUAUCCUAACGCUAAUCUACCACAGGUAGAGUAUCCUAACGCUAAUCUACCACAGGUAGAGUAUCCUAACGCUAAUCUACCACAGGUAAAAUAUCCUAACGCUAAUCUACACAGGUAAAAUAUCCUAAUGCUAAUCUACACAGGUAGAGUAUCCUAACGCUAAUCUACACAGGUAGAGUAUCCUAACGCUAAUCUACACAGGUAGAGUAUCCUAACGCUAAUCUACCACAGGUAAAAUAUCCUAACGCUAAUCUACACAGGUAGAGUAUCCUAACGCUAAUCUACACAGGUAAAGUAUCCUAACGCUAAUCUACCACAGGUAGAGUAUCCUAACGCUAAUCUACACAGGUAGAGUAUCCUAACGCUAAUCUACCACAGGUAAAAUAUCCUAACGCUAAUCUACACAGGUAGAGUAUCCUAACGCUAAUCUACCGCAGGUAAAAUAUCCUAACGCUAAUCUACCACAGGUAGAGUAUCCUAACACUAAUCUACACAGGUAGAGUAUCCUUACGCUAAUCUACACAGGUAGAGUAUCCUAACGCUAAUCUACACAGGUAGAGUAUCCUAACGCUAAUCUACACAGGUAGAGUAUCCUAACGCUAAUCCACCACAGGUAGAGUAUCAUAAUGCUAAUCCACCACAGGUAGAGUAUCCUAACGCUAAUCCACCACAGGUAAAAUAUCCUAACGCUAAUCCACCACAGGUAGAGUAUCAUAAUGCUAAUCCACCACAGGUAAAAUAUUCUAACGCUAAU
Oncorhynchus keta (chum salmon) is the source of this 871-nucleotide long non-coding RNA. RefSeq lists it as uncharacterized. The record is from RefSeq and is a predicted model, not a curated record. The transcript is spliced from 5 exons. Lineage: Eukaryota; Metazoa; Chordata; Actinopteri; Salmoniformes; Salmonidae.